GGGGGGACGGAGAAGGCUAUGUUGGCCGGGCGACGGUUGUCCCGGUUUAAGCGUGUAGGCUGGUUUUCCAGGCAAAUCCGGAAAACCAAGGCUGAGGCGUGAUGACGAGGCACUACGGUGCUGAAGCGACAAAUGCCCUGCUUCCAGGAAAAGCCUCUAAGCAUCAGGUAACAUCAAAUCGUACCCCAAACCGACACAGGUGGUCAGGUAGAGAAUACCAAGGCGCUUGAGAGAACUCGGGUGAAGGAACUAGGCAAAAUGGUGCCGUAACUUCGGGAGAAGGCACGCUGAUAUGUAGGUGAAGCGACUUGCUCGUGGAGCUGAAAUCAGUCGAAGAUACCAGCUGGCUGCAACUGUUUAUUAAAAACACAGCACUGUGCAAACACGAAAGUGGACGUAUACGGUGUGACGCCUGCCCGGUGCCGGAAGGUUAAUUGAUGGGGUUAGCGGUAACGCGAAGCUCUUGAUCGAAGCCCCGGUAAACGGCGGCCGUAACUAUAACGGUCCUAAGGUAGCGAAAUUCCUUGUCGGGUAAGUUCCGACCUGCACGAAUGGCGUAAUGAUGGCCAGGCUGUCUCCACCCGAGACUCAGUGAAAUUGAACUCGCUGUGAAGAUGCAGUGUACCCGCGGCAAGACGGAAAGACCCCGUGAACCUUUACUAUAGCUUGACACUGAACAUUGAGCCUUGAUGUGUAGGAUAGGUGGGAGGCUUUGAAGUGUGGACGCCAGUCUGCAUGGAGCCGACCUUGAAAUACCACCCUUUAAUGUUUGAUGUUCUAACGUGGGCCCCUAAUCGGGGUUGCGGACAGUGUCUGGUGGGUAGUUUGACUGGGGCGGUCUCCUCCUAAAGAGUAACGGAGGAGCACGAAGGUUGGCUAAUCCUGGUCGGACAUCAGGAGGUUAGUGCAAUGGCAUAAGCCAGCUUGACUGCGAGCGUGACGGCGCGAGCAGGUGCGAAAGCAGGUCAUAGUGAUCCGGUGGUUCUGAAUGGAAGGGCCAUCGCUCAACGGAUAAAAGGUACUCCGGGGAUAACAGGCUGAUACCGCCCAAGAGUUCAUAUCGACGGCGGUGUUUGGCACCUCGAUGUCGGCUCAUCACAUCCUGGGGCUGAAGUAGGUCCCAAGGGUAUGGCUGUUCGCCAUUUAAAGUGGUACGCGAGCUGGGUUUAGAACGUCGUGAGACAGUUCGGUCCCUAUCUGCCGUGGGCGCUGGAGAACUGAGGGGGGCUGCUCCUAGUACGAGAGGACCGGAGUGGACGCAUCACUGGUGUUCGGGUUGUCAUGCCAAUGGCACUGCCCGGUAGCUAAAUGCGGAAGAGAUAAGUGCUGAAAGCAUCUAAGCACGAAACUUGCCCCGAGAUGAGUUCUCCCUGAGACUUAGAGUCUCCUGAAGGAACGUUGAAGACGACGACGUUGAUAGGCCGGGUGUGUAAGCGCAGCGAUGCGUUGAGCUAACCGGUACUAAUGAACCGUGAGGCUUAACCUU
This 1486-nucleotide ribosomal RNA is filed under the name Escherichia coli 910096-2. Its description in RNAcentral is "bacterial LSU rRNA". It matches the Rfam family "Bacterial large subunit ribosomal RNA", at positions 1466 to 2925 of the family's 2925-position model. Lineage: Bacteria; Pseudomonadati; Pseudomonadota; Gammaproteobacteria; Enterobacterales; Enterobacteriaceae. The record is from RNAcentral.